This is a long non-coding RNA of Sphaerodactylus townsendi, 4162 nucleotides long. RefSeq lists it as uncharacterized. The record is from RefSeq and is a predicted model, not a curated record. The transcript has 5 exons. Lineage: Eukaryota; Metazoa; Chordata; Lepidosauria; Squamata; Sphaerodactylidae.
AAUAUCCCGGCAGGAAAUAAGUCUGUCUCUCUGCACAGUGGUGUUGAACGUGGAAAGACCUUGUUCUUCGACUCGGACAUAAUUACCGGCUCUUAAGAAAUGAGCUUCAAGUUUAGGGUUUUUCCCCGCUUCUCUCUCUCUCUCUCUCUCUCUCUCUCCCUCCCUCCCUUCCUUCCUCCCCUUCACUCUCAAACCUUGACUUUAAAAAUUAGUAUCAAGACUCACUUGGCAACCUUUCAGUGGCUAGUGGAAACCCUGGAUGUCACAACUAGCAAUUUCAGCCAUUUAGUGUCUUUUUUUUUUUGGUAUCCAUUGUUAUACAUAAAUAUAGAAUCUUACAGCAAGGAAUCAGAGUUGUCCUAUUGAAUUCACUAUAGCCAAGGAGAGCCAACAGAUGAAGGCCAGGUCCCCUGUAUUCUGCAAGAAUCUUGCUUGAGCAAAAAGUCAAGCAGAUGAACUUCUACCAGAAGGGUGGUGCUGCAACUGGGAAGGCAUGGAGAUAGGCAAAGAAGGUUUGUCUCCUUGCAGGUUCUAUUCAGAGAGCUUCCAAGGCAAAAGAGAGCCAGUGCAGGCUCCAUCACGUGGGUGCCAUGUGCUCCUGAUUGUUCCCUGCUCCCUCUGAAGAACUGAUCACCAGUCUGCUAAGCAGCUGCAAGUUCGGAAUUUCAUCUGUGUCCUCUGGUCUGAAGCCAUAAGCCGAAUAAAUGCAACCAAAACAUUUGACUUGUACACCAUACCUGCCUACAGGCCCAAAAUGUUUGUUGAAAUUUGGGCAAAGGAGAGAGAGAGAGAGACCAUCCCGAAGAAUGCUGUAACCUGGAGACCCUGUGAUACAUAUCUCCAUGGCAACAAUGAGAACAUGCAAUUAGCACCCCAUGGUAACUGAACAGCGUUACUGCUCAGAGAAUGGCACCAGUUCUAAUAUACUGUUUUGGGUUUAAUUUCAGUUUCCCUGGAUUUGUGGCCUCCAUAAUCUUUCUGUAUCAUAAUCUGCUCUGCUUCAUACUCAGAAAUGUUUUUGUGCUGCUUUACCCAGGAGCCACUUUGACUGCAUAGCCCUGAGUGGGCCAGUUCACAGCAUUGGUCUCUCCUGCUAUAUGGCUUCAGGCUUGUUUCAAAUUUUUAAAGGGAAACACCAUGGGUUGCCCCUUUUGAGGGUACUUCCAAGCUCGAGCCCAAAUGUUAAAAUAAUCUGUUCUCAAGAGAUAAUUAUGAAGUGUCCUUGUGAAAUAAAACAAGUCUUCUACAUUGUCCUCUGAGAAGAACAGGAAGCCUGUAAAAUGUUGAAGCUUUAGCAUGUUAAAAAGAAUUCCUUCCCUUCGAUUAUGCUGAAGCUAAUCUCCAACUGUUACAUACAUACAUACACACACACAUAUAUAUAUCUAUAAUUAGUUCAGUGAUUAGUUUUACUAACGAAUCCCUAUUCCUGUCGCCCCCACCCCAGCUCCAGUGGAUCAUCUUGAUGAGUACUACUAAGCAAACAGCGAUGUUCGCACUGGAGUGAAUCUGUUUAAUCAAUUAAGGCAAUCAGUUUUGGUCCUUUGCAAAUUUCAAUUGUAAGAAGAAAACAAAGUCUUUCAUUAGCAGGCCUGUAAUCCAAGUAAAUACUGUAUAAAUAUAUAUUAUCCUUCUGAAUAAUGAGAAUGUAUAUUGGGCCACCGCAGCAGCCCAAGCACAGCAUCAACAACAUGUUCACUAUUAAGAUUAGAAGGGCAUCUGGUGGUACUCCAUUGUAUAUCCAAUCGAGCUUGUCUUAAGCCAGCAUCACAAACCUUGGUCCCUAUUGAUUAUAAUGAGAGUCCUGCUGUAAAAGUACCCCAUUGCUAAUGUUUCCCAUCUUUCUGUUUACAGCCAUGUCCAUCCAGAUGCCUUUGGGAAGCCCAGAAGUAAAGGCAACUGUCCCUUCAAGUGGUUUGUCAAAUGAACUUUCAUAUUUAGAUAUAUACUUCCUCUGAGCCUGGAGGUUCUAUGGAGCCGUUCUGGCUAAUAGUCCUAUUGUCCAUUAACCUGUCUACAAGAAUUAGUGGCUGUUCACAAAUAAAAAGGGGUGGAUAGCUUGAACCUCCUGGGUCUGUUCCUGUAAUGGUGAUGCCUUCUUUCUGCACAAGGAGCCUUCCCUUGUCAUAACGGGGUAAGGUUUUUUGGCACCAGGGAGGUACCACCAUUAGUAAAUCAACAGUAGAUAGCUCCAAAUAAUUUUGUAAAAUAAUAAAAAAAAUGGUUAUCAUUUGUGUAAAAUAACUGCUGGAUUAAAAAAGAUUUAGUGUGGAGGUAAAUUCCUGUAAUUAGAACCUUUACCAAAUGUAGCUGUCAAAAUGAAUGAGGAAAAAAAAAUCAUGCUAAUUCGAACAGCAUUCUGAUCAGGGAAUGAAACACUUCAGAUAACUAAAUUGAAUUUCUAACUGGAGCUAAAUUCUUCAGGUUGUGUAAUUUUGGGAACCUUCUGCAUGUACAGGUACUUAAUUAAAUUGAACAUAAUCUAAUUUCAGAAGAUUUUGAUAAGCCAUCAUUUACUGUUGAUAAAAACUAAAUAUAUAUUGUUAUAGUAGAGUACAUUGGAAUGACAAAGCAGAGCGACACAAUGUCCACAUCCAGAAAUAUAUCUCACCCCUUGUAAGGCUCUCCUUAAUCCUUUUUUUUUAAAAAAGGUAGGGGUUCUUCUGAAAUCCCCAGGGGAUUUGGUGCUGCCGAAAGUAUCUCAAUGAAAAGAUAGAUUCUUGCUUUCUUGUCUCAUACAAAGUGCAAGUAUUUCCUUGCUUGCACUACAUUUCUGGAACUAUGAUCUCUCCAUAAAAUAAAAAUCAGUACAUCAAAUAUUCACUAGCGCUGAAGAAAAAUAUGGUUAGCACUGUCUAAACAUGGAUUUUUACAUAUUUAAAAAUCAUUCAUCCCCUUCCCCAUGGAGUUUUGGUUUACUGUAUAAGGCUGUGUUUUGAACUGUGUGUUUUAGCCAGCCCAGUCCUCACCCCAUGAAUGGUAAAAUCGUUACAUUCAUGCCAAAGCAAAACAGGCUUUGAGACAGAAGAAGAAAACUUUUGAAAAAAAACCCUUAGAUAACUGAAUUCACCGUACAUGAUCCAAAUUAUUUAUAAUCAUGUGAUGUUUGUGGAGUUUUGUGUUGGACCUUUUCAUGUGGCCAGCCCUCGUAUACAGUCAAUCAUAUAGCAAUCCCUCCAAGAAGCUGACCUGAGCAUGUUUUGCAAGGAAGGAAAAGGAUAAAUUCUUAGAUUGUAACAGUGCUUGGUUGUCCUAGUAAGGGUUGCUGUGUGCAUGCAGAAUGUCUUGUUUUGUAUUGUGUGCGUGUUUUUUUUAACUUCCAACAAAUAAAAUAUUAACAUGAUUAAGAAUUUAGAUUGACAUUUCAGGCAGAGAAGAACUGUAGGAGGUGACGACAGGCAGAUGAUGUGCGUUUGAUCUGGUACUUUUCAUCUGCGCCACCAUUUUAUCAGUGACUGUAGGAGUGAAACAAAAUGGCGGUUGCUCCUACUGUGCCACAGUGAUUAGAUGGAGGUGUUAACAUGGAAAUCCUUGGGAGGACAAAAACUAAAGAAAGGGCUGUGACUAAUAGGGAGGGGACGUUGGAAUAAGGGAUCAAUUAAUUCUUUUCACAUUACAGAUUUUUAAAAACUAGCUUGCGCAGAUGAAAGCAUGUGCCUUUUGCUUAGGGAUUCUGCCUUUUAACCUGGCACUUCUGAGGAAGGACAUCACAAAGCUAGAGAAGGUACAGAAACAGAUGACUAAAAUGAUCCAGGAGAUAGAGGACAAGAGAUUGGGGCAAAGAAGGAAGGCGGAAAGGCUAAAAUAUUUAGAAUUUAUUCAAUUAAGGGGAAAAGAUGAAUUGGGGAGGGGAAUGACAGAGGUUUAUAAAAUUGGGAGCAGGGUGGAAAAUGUAUUAGACAGAAAUCUUUCUCUGCAUCUAUCUAAUAAUAAAAUUCAGCUGGGUUUAGGGUCGAGACAAGGAAGCACUUAUUCACACAAUGUUGGUUAGUUGCUGUUAAGAGCAGUUAUGUAAGUGGUUUCCUAAUUUGGCUAGUGUACCAUGGAUUAUUGUGGGCAUAUUCUGACAUAACCACCUCUGCAUGUUAUGGUUUCUCGGUGUUACUAAGAUAAUUCUUUCAUGCCACAGAAAGGAAACCUUGCCCAUUCUCUUUGUACUUUCUGA